This 495-nucleotide ribosomal RNA is filed under the name uncultured bacterium. Its description in RNAcentral is "partial 16S ribosomal RNA". It matches the Rfam family "Bacterial small subunit ribosomal RNA", at positions 28 to 507 of the family's 1533-position model. The record is from RNAcentral.
GAAGAACGCUGGCGGCGUGCCUAAUACAUGCAAGUAGAACGCUGAAGGAGGAGCUUGCUCUUCUGGAUGAGUUGCGAACGGGUGAGUAACGCGUAGGUAACCUGCCUGGUAGCGGGGGAUAACUAUUGGAAACGAUAGCUAAUACCGCAUAACAGUAGAUGUUGCAUGACAUUUACUUAAAAGGUGCAAUUGCAUCACUACCAGAUGGACCUGCGUUGUAUUAGCUAGUUGGUGGGGUAACGGCUCACCAAGGCGACGAUACAUAGCCGACCUGAGAGGGUGAUCGGCCACACUGGGACUGAGACACGGCCCAGACUCCUACGGGAGGCAGCAGUAGGGAAUCUUCGGCAAUGGACGGAAGUCUGACCGAGCAACGCCGCGUGAGUGAAGAAGGUUUUCGGAUCGUAAAGCUCUGUUGUAAGAGAAGAACGAGUGUGAGAGUGGAAAGUUCACACUGUGACGGUAUCUUACCAGAAAGGGACGGCUAACUACGUG